UCACCAUCCCGGCGGUGACGCGAGGAAAGCAGCAACGUGAGUAGAACCGGAAGAGGCUUUGGCGCCACUUCCGGAUUACGUGUCUCCGCCUCCUUCGUUCCCGGAAGAGGAGAGGAGCGGCGUUGCCAUGGCGGCGACCCUGGGGCAGGUGCUGGCUCUGGUGCUGGUGGCCGCUCUGUGGGGUGGCACACAGCCAUUGCUGAAGCGGGCCUCCUCCCGCCUGCAGCAGGUUCAUGAGCGGACCUGGGCCCGGCAGUUGCUGCAGGAAAUGAAAACCCUCUUCUUGAAUCCAGAGUACCUGAUGCCCUUUUCUCUCAACCAGUGUGGCUCCCUUCUCUAUUACCUCACCUUGGCAUCAACAGAUCUGACCCUAGCUGUGCCCAUCAGUAACUCUCUGGCCAUCAUCUUUACACUGAUUGUUGGGAAGGUCCUUGGAGAAGAUAUUGGUGGAAAACCCAGGUGCCCAUGAAAAGGCAAAGGACUGGCUGUGCACACGAGGGAGCAGGAGAUAGUUGUGCUGAAGUCAAGACCAGCUCUGGACCAUGGACUCCCUCACCCUCCUGUGUCAUCCCCAGCAGGCACCAUCCCAUGUCACUGUCAGAGGCUGGCUGAGAAGGCCUUGAAUUCUGGGGUCCCCUCACCUGAUGGAAAUGAGAGCGUGGGGAGCAUGCUUCGUGGCUCAAUAGCUCGUUGGGGUCUGGCAUAGAAAGCAGAUGGCUCAAUUUGUCUGGCUUCGUUUGGAGAGAACCGGCUUGCCUGUGCUCUGUGGCCCUGGGCCUGCGGAGGGAACACUGAGCGUGAGCCAUGGUUGUAGGCUGUCCUUACCUUCUCCACUCCCAGUCCAGGUGUGAAUGCCUCUGAUGCCUUUGGCAGCCUGGGAGAGGAGAAGCCAUCCAUCUUCAUAGCCUGCAUCUUCCCUCCCUGCUCCCUCUUCCAUCAGGCUGCUUUAUCCAGGGACAUAGUAGAUGAUGCCUGGUGUUCUAAAUGCCCAGUGAAAUCAGGUUGUAUCCUCCUACCCUCAACUCACUGGCUCAUCUCUUGGGAGGGCUCAGGCCUGGGAUAAGAUGGGAAGCUGAUAAGCAUUUUGGACCCUGUUAUGCCAGAUGUACUGAUUUUCCCAGCAUCCAAUCUGGCAUCAGGUCCAGCAACUCAGAGUCCUGAAGAUCUUCAUAGAGCCCAGAUAAGCUGGCUUUCAGACCUGGUUCUGGUCUGGCUGCUGUCAGUAACUGUGUUACCCUGAACAAAUCACUUCACUCCUCUGAACUUCAGCCUCUCCUCUGGAAAAUGGGAAUAACAAUCUUUAUUUCACAAAAUUAUUGAGAGGAUACAGUACAAUAAGGUCAGAGCCUCAGCAGGAAGCUAGUCACUUCCUUCUUUCCCAUCCACCCCCCGUCCCACAACACCCUGGGUCACCUACCACCUGCUGGUGGGGCCUGGACUUUGGACCUGGGGGACGCCUACAAUGAAAAAAGAGAAGGCUUAUAGGGGGCAGAGCAGGACAUGGAGUCAGGGUGGCUUCCUUUGCUCUAACCUGCCACCCCUCCCCUCAUAUAUACAUACCAGCAGCCCCUGGGCAGUGAGGGACUGGGCACCAGCAGCUCCAGAUAGGGGAGGGCCUUGAACUCAUCCUCUCCAACGGCCACAUAGUAAUGGCCGCUCACCAGAGCCUCCCUUGCUGACAGUGGGAGCCCGUCCAGGGUGCAGAGCCUGGGAGAGAGAGGUGAGUACAUAAGGGCCAGUGAACAAGGUGGAUCUUGAUAGUCAGCAGACUGUGAGGGGGUGGGUACAGCUCUUCCAAGGUGCUUGGCCCUGCUGGGGAGCAGCUCUCCGGGCACCAGGGCCAGUCCCCCAGGCUCCACCCUGGUUCCAAGGGCUGGGCCGGAAGGGCCUCUCCCUCUGGCACAGAAAGAAGUCCCCUUUGGGGAAACAUGCUUUCCUUUGGCCUUUUCAUCCUCUAGGAAGGCCAGAACCAGUAGGGCGGCUCCCUUUGGGGACAUUCAGGUUUCCGCAGUUCCCAGACUCACUUGCGCACAGCCCCGCUCUGUAAUUUCACCUUCUCCUUCAGGAGCUUCAACACUGCUUCCCAGUCCUCGCUGGCAGCCUGGGACAGCUUCAGGCUGAACGGAGGACUUAACAGGUCCCCAUUCCUGAACACACUGGGACAAAGAGCAGCCUGGUAAGGGGAUGUGAGCAUCCAUGUGAGAGGAUGAAGGAUGGCACCGGGGCCAGAAGACAGUCUGAGACCCAGUGCACGGGCUCCUGGAACAAAUCCACCUACUUUUCCUUGGCCUCACUGAAACAAAAAUCUAUGCCCCCGCCUCCCCAACACGGGCACUUACUGGAUGUAGCAGGGGGAACCUGCAGGUAGCUGCCGUCCAAGGGCCCCAUCACACAGCUGCCGAGUCACGGGAAGACCCUGAAACCCAUCAGGUCCCCAAAUCAGGAACGCAUUGAGGCCUUUGGUCAGGGGUAGGUAGGGUGAGGGAAAGGAACCACACUGCGGCAGAAGAGGGGGUAAGGAGCGUGAGACCGGUCACAGCUUUUACCACAGGGUGCUUCUACCUCCCUAAGUCACAUUCUUAACCCCCUCCCAUCCUUCUGUUUUAUAGCAUCCUCUUUCCUCUGAGGACCACAGCCUGGAGACAAAAGGUUGCGAAAGGUGCAGGGAACAGCAUUUUGAAAUCCUGCACCCUGGGAAGGGUAGCAGCUGGCUCCAGAGCUUUUGACCACCCUCAGCCCACUCACGGGAGCUUGUGGAAAUGUUCGAAGCCAGCAGCCACAUACAGCCCUCCGUUCUGCAGGUCUGCCAGGUCGGUGACAGGGUGGCCAUAAGGGGUGUAGAGAGCACGCACGGCCACUGGGGCCCGCACAGCCGAUGUCACCUCACAGAGGAAGGUCUCCAGGGUGGGGAAGCGGCGUUGAGUCACCACCAGCUGGCGGCCUGGGGAGAAGGGGUCCCCGUUCCGGUACACCACUACCCUCUUGGCUGCUGGACUCCCACUGGCCAUUGUGUGUCCCUGGCUAGAGACGCAGAGCUGUUGCCAGGCAACUAAGACAGGGUUGGGAGCAAUGCCAAUCAGAGGUGGAGUCCUGCCUUUUCACCCAGGUAGGCAGGGAGAGCCUCCAUAGGAGCAUCUGUCUGCAUUCAGGGUCUCAUCCAGUCUGCUCUUGGUGGGGCCUCACAGGAGGGUGGGUCUGGUCAUUAGGUAUGAAGGAAGAGCCGGGACUCAAUGAGAGGGGCAGUGGCAGAGAUCACACUGAAACACAGAUGUUCAGUACUGGGUCGGGGCAGGGAUUCUCAGAGCCUCCCUGCCACUCUGUAGCCCAACAGCUUUGGGGGGCUGUUCCCCAAGAAUGCUAGUCUGCUCCUGGGCUGUGGCUCUCGGCCAGCUCUGGAGAGGAUGCCCCAUGUCAGCAGGAAGUACACAGGAGGUCCCAGAAGCUUGUCCUGACCAGGGGCAGAAGAUAAAUACAACCAGGCUCAGAAUCUAACGAAAACCUUUAUUCUCCAUCUUUAUUUAUUCUCAACCUUUAUUCUCCAGCUUGACUUGCCCCAGAUUGCUCCCUAUCCCCAAAUGUGGGCUGAGCCACAGGCAGAGGAUGAAAGUAGCCUCCUGCCUUCUCCCUCUACUGGUUCCAGCUCUGUGCUCCAGCUUCUUUUGGCCUCACUAGCCACCAAUACCCAGGGGCAGGGGCAGGAGGCACUACUGGAACCAGGGAGCUAGGAUGAGGUCCUGUCUCCCUCACUGCCCUUUCACAGCAUCGCCCUUUGGAACCUGGUCCUCCCUGGUUCCCCAGGGUCUAGCCUGCUGGUCCUGUUUGCCACUGUCUGCCCCUCCAGUGAUCCUCUCCUGUGUGGUCUGACCCUGUGGACAGUUUCUCAGGUGGCCUUGACCUACAUGGUACAGUCCUCUGGUUUUGCCAUCCUUCAUGGCUAGAUUCACUGGAGGUUCUCUCUAUGGAGCUUUUAUCACUGGGGGUCUGGCCCUUGGGUGGUUUAUUCUUCCAGAGAUCCAGGCCACCAUGCUCUGCCAAAGACCCAUCCCAGGUGACAUAGUCCUCUGAGACGCCCAACUCUUGUGGCACAGCUCUUUGCCAAUCAAGCUCUUUUUGGCAUGGCCCCCUGGGAGAGUUGUCUUCAUUGUUUGGGUCCUUGUGGAGUGUGGGCAGCUGUGUCCUGGCCUUUCCAGGACAGGAGCCCUUAGAUUUGAGCUCUUUGUGGCUUUCAUCCUCUAGAAGUGUUGUCAGCUGCAGGCAGGUCUCUCCAGAGAUCUCUUCUCCACAGUCCAGCUCUUUGGUGAGCCUCUUCCCUGUGGCCUGGUAUUCCGAUGGUGUGGGCAGCUGUGGACCAGGCCAUCUGUAGGAUGGGUGCCUGUACUUGGCCCCAGCAGUUGUUUUAUCUGGAGUGGCCAGUCCUUCUGGGAAUUUGUGGGGUUGUGAUCCGAGCCUCCAGCAGGAGGCAUCCACAUGGCCUGGCUCUCCAGGGGUCCUGCCUCUGUAGGGCUGGUCUUCCAGUGGUGGGCCUGGUUGUGAUCCAGCUUUUUCACAGCUCUGUCCCCCAUGAUCUUGGCAUAAGCUGCGCUCAUGUCUGUUCUGGUUCACUUCUGGGGAUCUCAGUGUUUGUUUGAGAACUAGGUACUGUUAGAGAAAAGAAGAGACACUGUACCAGGCAGGACUGCUUGGGCCUGGCAGGAGGCUUUUCCCUCACCCCCACCCUUGGCCUUAAAUGUGCAAAAAAGGCUCCAAAUUAGUGCCUACCUCCUUACGGCUACCGAUGGCCUGUUGUAGCCACAGCAGCUCCAUGGCCAAGUGGCUGCGGUGGUUCUGGAGCUCCUGGAGCUCAGUCUGGCUGUGGGACAGUCCUGGACCUGCAGCUUCUGUGAAGGAGAACGAAGGGAGAAAGCCUUGAGGAGCAGGCACUAGGCACUGGCCUAGUCCUUAGACCCUGGCACCUUCCCCCUACGCAUCCAUAAGUCGCCCCCAACCAGAAGGAGGGAAGAAAGGGAUGCAGCUUAUCUAGCACAAGCCUUCACUUUUCAGAUGGGAACGCUUAGGCCCAGAGGGCAGAGGCUUGCCCUGAUCUAGGUAGAGGUGUACCUGGGUUGUUCAUCCUUGACACGUCUCUGGUCUCUUGGCUCGGUUUCCCGGUCCUCCUGCUCUGCUCAUCCUGAAGCCAGGCACUGGCAUCUCUGCAGGGAAGACUGCUGGCGUUUGUGAAGCUGUCUCCUGACUUCUUCAGUAUCAUAUCCUCCCGGAUGGUCUCUUUCUCAGUCUCUUUACAUGCGAAGCGGCUCCAUAGUUCCUGCUCUGGAUUUGGUGCCCUCUCUCCAGUGGCUUUCCAGGUCUGACAGGAUUUUGCCUUCUGAGAAAUCAAAGGUGUGAGAGCCCCGAGGCUAAACCCUCCAAGGAUCUGGACAUUCUGAUUUAGCACGCCAAUUGAUGAGGACUAAGGAUUGGGGUGUGCGGAGGUGAGUCUGUUCCCUUUUCCAUUGAGGAACGCUUGUUGGCAGGUAAUGUGGAAUGCCCUUGCCCAGGUCCCUCUUUAUUUUUUACCUCUAGGGUGUGUAGUACCUUUGGGAGAAAUCGGGGCCUGGGAAUCCAGCCCUCAGUCCACUGAAGCGUGCCCAGAUCACCCUCGAUCUCUCGUACAAUAGCUUCAUAUUCACCUCGAAGACUCUGGAACUGGCGUCGGACCAAGAAGCCCCGGAUGCAGGCCUGGUGUGGAGAACGAGGGGAGAGAAAACCCUAUCACUGCAACAUGGGGAUAUCUUGGGGGAACGCUCCUGGAGAGGUCAUUGCGUGACUGCAAGAGGGGACCCGGCCCCGGGGAAAGGACAGGUGACACUGUGCGUUGGGGCUCCGGGGAUUCGAGAGAGUGUGCUGGACUGGAUCCAGCACAAUUCUUCGAUUGAAGGCUCUUCCCACCCUUUCCCUGAUCCCGUAAGAGCUUGUGGUGGCAGUAGGGGGUGGGGGUGGGGGUGGGGGGACGCGUGAGGAUCCGUGCUGCUGCUGCUAAGUCGCUUCAGUCGUGUCCUACUCUUAGUAACCGCACGGACUGCAGCCUACCAGGCUUCUCCGUCCGUGGGAUUUUCCAGGCAAGAGUACUGGAAAAUUGCCUUCUACGAGGAUCCGUGGGGUCCCCACAUUCUUCAGGCCGGUGGGGUGGGUCGGUAGCUUCGGACACGGGCACGCGGGCAGGUUACUAGACGUGAGAGCCUCAUCUGGUCCAUAGGUCCCACCCAGUCCGAGAACCCGUAGGGGGAAAUCACAGGCAAGCCUCCCGCCCCGCACCUGCAGCGCCGUCACCUUCCGAACCAACCGCUCCCGCUCCAUCCGGGCGCAAACUGACCCGCCCGGCGCCUGCGCAGUGCGUCACCGGCCUGCGCCGCGGGCCGAUGGGCUCAGGCCCCGCCCCGCCGCCUCCUUUGGGCUGCAGCCAGGACCCCGCGUGAGCGGGUGCUGUUCCCACACACCCCGAGCAGCCCCGGAGAAUCUAACUGCCCUAGCGGGACCUCCCAAACCAGAAGUGUGUUGCGCAGGGGCGUCCAUGCGAGAGCUGGGGCCCGGGCGCUCCUGCCGAGUAAAAGGCGCAAUGAGAGAA
This is an RNA transcript of Bubalus bubalis (water buffalo), 6601 nucleotides long. It is a transcript of the gene named transmembrane protein 234, with no coding region annotated. The transcript is spliced from 6 exons. The record is from RefSeq and is a predicted model, not a curated record. NCBI's taxonomy places the organism in Eukaryota, Metazoa, Chordata, Mammalia, Artiodactyla, Bovidae.